CUUGACGGUGUCCCAACCUUCCUAGAGGAGCCUGUUCCAUAAUCGACAACCCACGAUAUACCUAACCACCUUUAGAAUAUAACUCAGCCUAUAUACCGCCGUCGUACAGCCUACCUUUUAAAAGACCAUAAGUAAGCGAAAAAGUAAAAUACUAGUAAGUCAGGUCAAGGUGUAGCUUAUAGGGUGGAGGAAAUGGGCUACAUUGUUUAUAUUAAACAAUACGAAUUUAUCUCCAUGAAAAAGAAAAUGAAGGCGGAUUUAGCAGUAAUUUAAACAAGAAUAUUUAAAUUAAUAUUUAGCUCUGGGACAUGUACACACCGCCCGUCACCCU
RNAcentral lists this ribosomal RNA (331 nucleotides) under Selvasaura sp. RNAcentral describes it as "partial small subunit ribosomal RNA". It matches the Rfam family "Microsporidia small subunit ribosomal RNA", at positions 786 to 1205 of the family's 1311-position model. The record is from RNAcentral. Lineage: Eukaryota; Metazoa; Chordata; Lepidosauria; Squamata; Gymnophthalmidae.